AUUGAACGCUAGCGGGAUGCCUUACACAUGCAAGUCGAACGGAGUGGGGAACGGGUGAGUAAUGAAUAGGAAGGUGCCCAGUAGCGGGGGAUAAAUAAGAGAAAGCGUAGAUAAUGACGCAGAAGAUAGGAGCGGCCGAUGUCGGAUUAGCUAGUUGGUGGGGUAACGGCUCACCAAGGCGGCGAGGCGUAGCCGGUUUGAGGGGACGAUCGGCCACACUGGGACUGAGACACGGCCCAGACUCCUACGGGAGGCAGCAGUGGGGAAUUUUGGACAAUGGGGGAAACCCUGACCCAGCCAUCCCGCGUGAGCGAUGAAGGCCUUCGGAUUGUAAAGCUCUUUUGUCAGGAAAGCGGUACCUGCAGAAUAAGCACCGGCUAACUACGUGCCAGCAGCCGCGGUAAUAC
This 407-nucleotide ribosomal RNA is filed under the name uncultured bacterium. RNAcentral's name for it is "partial 16S ribosomal RNA". It matches the Rfam family "Bacterial small subunit ribosomal RNA", at positions 29 to 526 of the family's 1533-position model. The record is from RNAcentral.